AUGCACGCUGGCGGCGUGCCUCAUCCAUGCAAGUCGAGCGAACAGAUGAGGAGCUUGCUCCUCUGACGUUAGCGGCGGACGGGUGAGUAACACGUGGAUAACCUACCUAUAAGACUGGGAUAACUUCGGGAAACCGGAGCUAAUACCGGAUAAUAUAUUGAACCGCAUGGUUCAAUAGUGAAAGACGGUUUUGCUGUCACUUAUAGAUGGAUCCGCGCCGCAUUAGCUAGUUGGUAAGGUAACGGCUUACCAAGGCAACGAUGCGUAGCCGACCUGAGAGGGUGAUCGGCCACACUGGAACUGAGACACGGUCCAGACUCCUACGGGAGGCAGCAGUAGGGAAUCUUCCGCAAUGGGCGAAAGCCUGACGGAGCAACGCCGCGUGAGUGAUGAAGGUCUUCGGAUCGUAAAACUCUGUUAUUAGGGAAGAACAAAUGUGUAAGUAACUAUGCACGUCUUGACGGUACCUAAUCAGAAAGCCACGGCUAACUACGUG
This 496-nucleotide ribosomal RNA is filed under the name uncultured bacterium. RNAcentral's name for it is "partial 16S ribosomal RNA". It matches the Rfam family "Bacterial small subunit ribosomal RNA", at positions 29 to 507 of the family's 1533-position model. The record is from RNAcentral.